GUCUGCAACCCGACUACAUGAAGCUGGAAUCGCUAGUAAUCGCGGAUCAGAAUGCCGCGGUGAAUACGUUCCCGGGUCUUGUACACACCGCCCGUCACACCAUGGGAGUCGGAAAUGCCCGAAGUCUGUGACCCAACCAUUAAGGAGGGAGCAGCCGAAGGCAGGUCGGAUGACUGGGGUGAAGUCGUAACAAGGUACC
RNAcentral lists this ribosomal RNA (199 nucleotides) under uncultured bacterium. RNAcentral's name for it is "partial 16S ribosomal RNA". It matches the Rfam family "Bacterial small subunit ribosomal RNA", at positions 1303 to 1500 of the family's 1533-position model. The record is from RNAcentral.